AGGCGAGCGGAGGGGGCGCUGGGUAAUGAGUUGCCGCAGGGGCAGGGCGCCGAGACCGAGAAUUAGCUGCGGCCGGCGCCUGGAGACGCUGACGUCUGGCGUCCGUAGGGGCCGAGGGACCCUCGGGCGGGCGGCAACAAGGACCGUGUGGCCGCUACUUGUCCCUGCACUCGCCUUCUGUCCUCGCCAUAGGAGCGCGGCGUCCGCCAUGGAAGCGCAUCCGGCCGCCGCCGUCGUUUCCGGGCGCUGGGGCCCCAGCUCCCCGGAGCGAUGAGGGGGUAGUGGCGCUCCGCCGCCCGCCUGCCUCCCUCGCCCCGGCCGCCCCGGAGAGAAGGAGGGUCGGGCGGGCGGGCGGUCAGCGCUGCCGUGUCCGCCCCGCCCCCUGGGGGCACUGCCGAGGGGCGCCCGCCCGGCCGCUGAAGCCCGGGACGCGCCGCCCGCCCGCGCCCUCCGCCCCCCAAGAUGUGGCAGAACGUCGGGCUGACCGUGCUCGUGUUCGUGGCCACGCUGCUGAUCGUCCUGCUGCUGAUGGUGUGCGAGCACUCACUCUAAUGACAGGAAACAAUGUCUCCUGCACCCUAGAGGCUCCCUCACGCCCGAGACUGCUCUGCUGCUCAAGUCUGCUACUUCCCUCAGUCAGUGCACAGAGGAGUGACCCGUGCUGCAGCCUGAAGGCUUUGGCAGAAAUAUGACUGGAACCAGCCAGCACUGGCAGAGCUAUUGCAGCAGGGUGCCACGGACAUGGACCAAGGUGCUUUCCAACCUUCGGUCACCCUCCCCCUCAAGAGGUGGACCAGAUGCCCCAAGAAGCUGCAGCACUUGUGUCUGUGAAGUCGUCCUGGCCUGGCCCCCGUGGCUGUGCCCUGGUUCCUGAGGGCCACAGGAGAACAGAUAGCUUCCAUUGACCGGGACAGUUUCUUUUGUGGAAUCAUGCAACAUUGCGCCACCAGGUGGUGCUGACACCUGAUUUGGAGUGAUGCUCUCUGAAGUGGGGCACAGGGCAAAGGGUAAAUUCAGGGAUUGGCCCCUGAGCCUUGAGCUUGAGUUCGCAUGCAGCCAUAUAGUGGUUCUCACCUGUCUGAGUUCUGACAUUUUUUUCAUGAAAUUGUUUACAUAGACAGAAACCCCACAAAAAAUAUUUGCUGGGGCUCACACAUGUCAGGAGUAGCCCUGAUCUGAUGUAAACACCUGUAUUAUUUGAAAGAUUUCAAUAAGAACAAGUAAAAGUACAUAACAUUGUGACAAAUCAAAGCAAAUGUUUUAUUCUAGAAGAUAAUGUUGGUAAUUGGGAGAAAAGAGCUGAUUGUGAUUGGAGCCCUUCUCACAAAAUCCAGAGUCAGGGAGCCCAUUGAGCUAUACAGUGAGCUAUUUUUACAGCUUUUAAAAAAUGUAUCAAGAUGUAACCAACCUUUAACUCCCUUGGCCAUAUUUGGCAACAGCUUAGAAGAGGCCACGUCCCAGCACAGGGGCAAGGCAGCUUUGUACUCUCUGCCGGUUAUGUUACGCUUCACAGAGUUCAGCACUGCGUUUACAUGAUGCAGUGUAACGUUCUUAUAUAUCCAUCUCUCCCCAUCACACUCCAACGCAUGUUUUCCAAAGAAGUCAUCUGAGCUAUAGAGAGAGUAGAAGGUCAGAGAGAGAUUAGCCCAGGAAGAGCCAACCUUCCAGAGAUAUAGUGAACUUCUUCCUGCUAAAAUCAGAGACUGAAAUCCUCUCACUGUUCUAUCUUCACCUCUAGUGUGCAUCUCUCUGCUGAGUCAGGAAAUUCUGUAUCAUCCAAAGAAAAUGCUGUGUCUCGUUCACUAAAAAGCCCCACAUCCUAUCCCUGCUCUACACUGAUUCUUCACCCUCCCCCACAAGACAGCUCCAGGAGUCUGUCUACAGCAGACUGGAUGCAGUGGAGAGGCCCUUGCAGGGCACACUGGGUCCUUCCUGUGACAUGAUUUCUGACAGGCAGAGGCUAUGUCGUCUGCUUUUCAUGUUCAUGAGUGUACGCUGAGUGUGGAAUGGGACAUGUAGGUGGGCGUGGGAGAAGAUGUGUGUGUUGGCACAGGCAGAGCAGAAAGGGGCAACACGGAGUGGACGCUUCAGCCACUUAUGGUUGGAUCCAGCUGGGCACCAGGACACAUGCCAGUAACACGGCUGUGUGUGACAGGUGUAAGGACGCCUGCCUAAUGUCUCCCAUCACCACCCACAGCCUACUGACCACACCAUCGAUCCUGUCAGUCCCAGUCGAUCCUCAGAAUCUGUGGACCUGGUCCUCCCCCAAACUGAGCGGGAGCUCACAGAACUAGACAGAAUGGCCUGGAUUUAUUUUGGAAGAGAGUCACAGAUGCACGGUGGGUGAGGAUGAGAAAAUCCAGUAGUCUGUGAGGGGGGGUUGAGGGAGGGGGCUCACAGCCAGGCUGCUAGUCUCAUGUCACAAGGGAUGCCCACGACUGAACUAGCAGGACUUGAAGACAGAC
This is a long non-coding RNA of Cynocephalus volans (Philippine flying lemur), 2465 nucleotides long. RefSeq lists it as uncharacterized. The record is from RefSeq and is a predicted model, not a curated record. Lineage: Eukaryota; Metazoa; Chordata; Mammalia; Dermoptera; Cynocephalidae. The transcript has 3 exons.